AUGGGAAGGGAUCACCUGCAACCAAGAUGGGAAGGUCACCGACGUUUCGCUGGCUUCUCAAGGCCUCGAGGGGUCCAUCUCGCUGUCCCUCGGCAAACUCACCGGACUCUUGCGCCUCAACCUGUCGCGCAACUCCUUGUCCGGCGCCUUCCGCUGGAGUUGGUGUCGUCCGGCAGCAUAAUCGUCCUUGACAUCAACUUCAACCGCCUGACAGGAGCGCUGCAUGAGCUGCCAUCCUCAACCCCUGCGCGGCCUCUGCAGGCACUCAACAUCUCAAGCAACUUAUUCACAGGACAGUUUCCAUCGACCACAUGGAGAGCAAUGGAGAAUUUGGUCGCACUCAAUGCCAGCAACAACAGCUUUACCGGGCAGAUACCAACGAUGCCAUGUGCGAGCUCGCCAUCUUUAGCCGUUCUUGAACUCAAUUUUAACAAAUUCAGUGGAAAUAUCCCUCCAGGGCUCGGCAAUUGCUCCGUGCUGAAGAUGCUCAGCGCUGGCUACAACAACCUCUGUGGGACUCUUCUAGGCGAGCUCUUCAAUGUCACCUUGUUAGAGCACCUCUCUUUGCCUAACAAUUGGUUAGACGGACCUGUCAAUGGCAUCGGCAAGCUCACAAAUCUGGUCACCCUUGAUCUUGGGGGGAAUGGUUUCAGUGGCAACAUUCCAGAGUCUAUAGGUGAUUUGAAGAGAUUGGAGGAGCUGCAUUUGGAACACAACAAUAUGUCAGGGGAGCUGCCAACAGCUCUAAGCAAAUGCACAAAUCUCAUAACAAUUGACCUCAACACCAACCACUUCAGUGGAGAACUUAACAAGGUCAAGUUCGCGAGCCUGUCCAACCUAAGAAAAUUAGAUCUUCUCUUCAACGACUUCACCGGCAUAAUUCCAGAAAGCAUAUACUCCUGCACCAAUCUGACUGCACUACGACUAUCUUACAACCGAUUCCAUGGUAAAUUGUCAGAAAAAAUAGGCAAUCUGAAGUCCCUCUCGUUCCUAUCACUUGCUAACAACUCUCUUACAAAUAUCACAAGAACACUUCAGAUCCUUCAUAGUUCCAAGAGCCUCACUACCCUUUAUAUUGGGUGCAACUUCCUGCAUGAGACCAUGCCAGAAGAUGACAACAUUGGUGGUUUUGAGAAUCUUCAGGUUCUUUCUAUGAGUGAUUGUUCAUUGUCUGGAAAAAUACCUGAUUGGUUAUCAAAGGUCACAAAUUUGGGGAUGCUAUUUUUGCAAAGCAAUCAACUAACUGGACCGGUACCUGACUGGAUCAGCAGCCUGAACUUGCUUUUCCAUCUAGACAUAUCAAACAACAGCUUUACAGGGGAAAUUCCAACUGCCUUAAUGGAGAUGCCAAUGCUGAGAUCAGACAAGACUGCACCAAAGGUCUUCUUUGAGCUGCUUGUUUGGAACGAGAACACAUUUAUGCAGUACCUCAUGCUCAGUGCUUUUCCUAAGGUGCUUAAUCUAGCCAUCAAUAAUUUCACUGGUGUGAUCCCAAAGGAGAUCGGACAGUUAAAAGGACUCAUUUCACUCAACCUGAGCUCUAAUAGAUUAUCUGGAGAGAUGCCAGAGCAGAUAUGCAACCUCACGAACCUGCAGAUUCAAUGUUUCUAA
This 1611-nucleotide ribosomal RNA is filed under the name Triticum aestivum (bread wheat). RNAcentral's name for it is "partial small subunit ribosomal RNA". The record is from RNAcentral. Lineage: Eukaryota; Viridiplantae; Streptophyta; Magnoliopsida; Poales; Poaceae.